ACAUGGACUUCCUUACCUCCACCAUAAUGAGUAGAAUGUUGAAAAUUGCCCGGAUCCCAGCCUAGUUCCUCUAGUUGGUGUGUUUUCUUAGGGAGUGAGCUGAAGAGUGAAGGUCUUUUGCUUUAAGAGAAAGGCUGGGUUGGGGUGGAGGAGCGGGUUGUACAUAAACAUUCUCAGGUGUGGAAGACGAGCCAGUGCGACGCGGUUGCCAUAGUAACCUGACGUCAUAUUGGCGACGGUGACGACUUUUUAAUGAGCCCAAUUUGGCCUGGGGAGAACAGCACAGUCCCACCUUCAGGCGUUUGGACUCAGUGAAGGUUGUUAGUGCCCAGCAGUGUGGGCUGAAUCUCCGUGGGGUUUAGAGAGACGACAGAAUCCCAGAUCCACGUCCCAUCGUUCCCACUUUGGGGAUCGGCACUCUGGCUGUUUCGUGAGGGAGAGAGAGGAACUCAGAGUGGUUUUCCAGAUGGGAAUCACAUUGCUCUCUGUCCCUGAGAUCUUGCUGGAGGCAGGGCUACUCAGUCCCUCUUUGCCAGACUGAUAUUGGAAAAGCAGUUUCUAUUGAGCCCCCAAAUGAAGAGAGACUGCAGAUGAAAAGGAGGCAAGACUCACAAGGCCUUGAUCUUCAUACCAGACCCAUUAGCACCUACAGGACCUUGUACUGGGAUUUAGUCUGUGCUAUC
This 683-nucleotide long non-coding RNA is filed under the name Saimiri boliviensis boliviensis (Bolivian squirrel monkey). RNAcentral's name for it is "lncRNA (ENSSBOG00000036618.1)". The record is from RNAcentral. Lineage: Eukaryota; Metazoa; Chordata; Mammalia; Primates; Cebidae.